CCGAGUAACUUAGCAUCAAGAGAUGAGAGAAGAACAUACCUCCUUGACAAUGCAUCAGCAACUACAUUGUCCUUACCUUUCUUAUAUUUGAUGACAUAAGGAAAUGUCUCAAUGAAUUCAACCCACCUUGCAUGCCUCUUGUUGAGCUUCUGUUGUCCUUUAAGAUGCUUCAAGGACUCAUGGUCUGUGUGAAUGACAAACUCCUUAGGCCAGAGGUAAUGUUGCCACGUUUGUAAUUGAUAAUAGGUUUUUCAGUCAAUUAUCCUAAAACACCAAUCAUGUCGUUGUAGUAUUUUAGGUUGUCAAUCCAAAUGGGUGUGAUGCUAACAAUCAAGAUGUGAUCAGAAGUCACUAAGUCAAGCCAAGCAAUAACAGGUUUUGGUGUGUUCUAGCAAUCCUAAGUGAACAAGCAGGAAACAGAAAAUCAAACAGAAACAGUAAAACACUCGACCAACACAGCUCUUUGCAGAGCCCUGGGUGAGGUCGAGUGACAGGUCGAGUAACAGACAGAAAAUGAAACAAAGAUACUCGACUGCACAGUCUGUUGCCAGACAACUGGGUGGUCGAGUAUCAGGUCGAGUAACAGUAAAGAAUUGCAGAAACUAAGCAACAGGUGACAGGAUGCAGUAAACAGCAGUAGAGUAAACAAUAAAAUCAAUCAGACAAAGAAUUCCUAAGGAUGGGGUAAUUGAGUAGUUUCGUUUCCUCAGUUUACAGGUGAUUGACAUGCUCAACAAAUUAACCCUAGACAACAAGUUCGUUAACCAAAUCUAAGUGCCACCGCAACAGAGACUCUCAAGCUAACCUAGUCCCAGACUCAAUCACCAUUGACGAGAGCUAACCUAACAGGCAUUACGAAUCAACAAGUUAAAGCCAAAACGCUCCCUGCAACCAAUACCUUGGUACAGGGUCACGAAUCUCUGGAAUUAGUGGUUCAGGCAUUUCAUCGAACACCUUUUGGGCGCGGAAAUGUCUGGGCUCAAAUUCCAGUUGAUCAGAAAGUAAUAGGCAUUAAGAACAACUAAUCCAGAAGGGAUCUAUCAAUCAAUACUCAAUCACCUAGCAUACUGAGAAUUCUACACUACUCUAACCCAUCCUCAGAAACCUAUUCACUACUCAGACAUCAUGACAGAAAGCAUAAACGUUGAACAGGUUGAAGACAUGAUAACAGCAGUAUGAUAACAGAAUGAAUAACAGUAAACGAAAAUCAAGAACAGAAACUGAAUAUUGAAUACUGAAUAGAUAAAGAGAAAUCCGGAUUACAAAAAGUCUAGAACACAAGGUCUGCGGAAAUAAAAACUAGGUAAAAAACUACUCCAUUCGAAAAUGAGAAGUACAUGCUACUUAUAGCCAAAUAUCCCGAAACCCUAAUACUCAAAACGACGAAGUAUUUGGACGGGUUAAGAACUGUACUCGACCAACGUGGUCGAGUGAGAGCUCGAGUGAAUAGCUGGAGUCUUCUUUUCUUCCUUGUGCUCGAGUGUCUGGUUGAGUGCGGAAUGAAGAAGGCUCUGAAGCUUGUCAUCGAGUAUGCAGUCGAGUGGUGUGAUGGAGAUACUCGACCUCUAGGUAGAGUGAGGAGGUCGAGUGGUUGUCUGAUGAUGGAGGUGAAGACACUCGACCUCAAGGUCGAGUGAAGUGAUCGAGUGACCGUGUGGUGAUGGAGAUGAUGGCACUCGACCUCGGGGUCGAGUGGUGAGGUGAAGUGGUGAUGUGCUCUACUCGACCUGGUUGUCGAGUGGUCUCUUGAGAUCUUGAAGCUCCUACUCGACCUCUGGGUCGAGUGGUUUGUCAUGAUCAGGUCUGCUUCUUCCAGAUAGCUCGUCAACAGCUCCAAAUCACCUGAAAUCAACGCAAAUAUGCAACAUGCAUGCAAAACUAUCCUAAACAUGCAAAGUGAUGACAAAUGAUGUGAAAUGGUAUAAAACAGUGAUGAUAUGAUGCUAAAGUGAUGACAAAUGGAUGCUCAAAACAUGCAAAAUACACACUUAUCAACUCCCCCAAACUUAGUCUUUGCUUGCCCUCAAGCAAACAAUCAAGAACAAGCUGGAGGUGAGGUUUGAAAGCGGGGACUCAGAGCCAAAGCACUAGAUAAACCAGAUGAAAUCAAUGUCCAAGUUGAAAGUUCUAAGCUGCAAGAUCGAAUUCUACUUAAAAACGUUAGCCAUGCCUCAUUAAUCAAUCAAUCCGACUCAUAUGCUCGACCUACAUAAGUUUUCAAAUCCACCAAUCCCUUUAACAUUCAUUAGUUCUGGAACGUGAAUCAAGCAAUGCAUCAUCAAAGAACUCAUUUGGCUAAGGUAAAAGGUCAAGAGACAAAGAUGGUCCCUUACAGAAUAGGCUUUAGUAACAGGGGAUCUCUCAAAAAAUGAUUAAGCUUUAGUAGAAUGCUAAAGGUAAGUCCCAAUCUAUGCAUACAGAGAUAAGAUCCCAUCUACCCAGAGUACAUCAAAUGAAGCUCUAAUGGUAAUCCCAUCUCCAAUCCCAAUACAAGAACUAAACUCUACCCUUUGCAUUCAUGAAUCUUUUAAGCCCUUUUUCUAAUCAUUCUUUUCUUUUCUCUUAACUCUAGGCGAAGCUUCAACACUUUGAUAUAUCUAGCGGAUUUGGAUUUCUUUAACAACUAAGGUUCCUGUUUUUAACAUUUUAAAACCAAGGGCUUUUGUCCAUCUUCAAUAGCUAACAAGAACUCUUUCUUUUCUUUACAAAUCCCAAAACCUUUACUAGACUUUUUCUGCUUUUUUAGCUUACUUCACCUAGAGUCCUUUACCUUUUCUCAUCAAUGAAUCAACCUCCCCCUUUU
Molecule: small RNA, 2803 nt
Filed under: Arabidopsis thaliana (thale cress)
Lineage: Eukaryota; Viridiplantae; Streptophyta; Magnoliopsida; Brassicales; Brassicaceae
Description: ATSL203350
Source: RNAcentral